UUUGGUGACAGAGGGACCAGCAGGAUGACCAAAUACAGUGAUUCUCAACCUUCCUAAUGCCGCAGCCCUUUAAUACAGUUCCUGUGGGUCGCGACCCACAGGUUGAGAACCGCUGACCCAAUACAAAUUGUAUAUGGUAAGAUUGGGAAUAUUAGUGACCUUUAUCUGUCAUGAUCUCUAUUGCUGCAGGCCUGGCCACUUGGAGAGAGGUUGCCCCUGCUGCCAAGGCAGUGACACCCCCUGCCCAACCUCCCUCCUUUCUCCUUGUGACCUAAGUGUUUCAGUCCUAGGGGUGGUAGAAAUAGUAACAGCUAACACUCUGCAUGGAGUGUGUAAUCUUUUUAACACAUCACCUGUUAUAACUUACCCAAUACUCAGAGCAAUACUAUUAUGACACAGGUACUAUUACUGUCCCCCACUUUACAGAGAAGUGUGAGACACAGGGAGAGUGGGUAACUUGCCCAAGUUCACACAGCAUCUGAGUAUCCGAGUCCUACCCAACACCAGGCCCUCUGGGCUCCAGUCCAUGCUCCUGGGGAAUGGGACCCAAAUCCAAUGCCAAAUUCAUCCUGAAAGUAAUUCUAUGCACCAUUUUAAGUAAUUUUGUGUAUAAAUCAAAAGUCUUUGUUAUAAAUUCUCCUGUCUGGAAUUUUCCACUUGUGGCGUCACGUAGAACUAAAGUUUCCGGUUGUGGAUGAUAGAUUUUCGGGUUAGGGACGCUUAAGCCUCUCCGGGCGAGCAUGGGGGAGCAGUGGCUGCGGGACAGCAGAUUAGAGAGCCCGGAGAGUCGCCGCCCGCUGAGGGAUGAGGACGCGACAGCCCGGUGGGACGCGCUUGCUGCCUUCGCAGCCCCGAGCGCACAGCGCCCCGGAGCCAGGCUGGGCCUGACACCCUGUCCUCUCCCCUCGCGCACAGGGCUCCGCGAGUGACCCGCCCGCCAGCGCCAGCCGCAUGGAGCGGCUGCAGAAGCAACCACUCACCUCCCCUGGGAGCGUCAGCUCCUCCCGAGACUCCAGUGUGCCUGGCUCUCCCUCCAGCAUCGUGGCCAAGAUGGAUAACCAGGUGCUGGGCUACAAGGACCUGGCAGCCAUCCCCAAGGACAAGGCCAUCCUGGACAUUGAGCGGCCUGACCUCAUGAUCUACGAGCCCCACUUCACUUAUUCCCUCCUGGAACACGUGGAGCUGUCCAGGAGCCGGGAGCGCUCACUGUCGCCCAAAUCCACGUCCCCACCACCAUCCCCAGAGGUGUGGGCAGAGAGCCGGACCCCUGGAAUCUUCCCUCAGGCUUCAGUCCCAAGAACCACUGGAACCCCCCGGACCAGUCUGCCCCAUUUCCACCACCCUGAGACCUCCCGCCCGGAUUCCAACAUCUACAAGAAGCCACCCAUCUAUAAGCAGAGAGAGUCCGUGGGUGGCAGCCCUCAGAGCAAGCACCUCAUUGAGGACCUCAUCAUCGAGUCGUCCAAGUUCCCUGCGGCCCAGCCCCCUGACCCCAACCAGCCGGCCAAGAUAGAAACUGACUACUGGCCUUGCCCCCCUUCUCUGGCUGUUGUGGAGACAGAAUGGAGGAAGCGGAAGGCAUCUCGGAGGGGUGCAGAGGAAGAGGAUGAGGAGGAAGAUGAUGACUCUGGGGAGGAGAUGAAGGCUCUCAGGGAGCGUCAGAAAGAGGAACUCAGUAAGGUUACUUCCAACCUAGGAAAGAUGAUCUUGAAAGAAGAGAUGGAAAAGUCAUUACCUAUCCGAAGAAAAACCCGCUCCCUGCCUGACCGGACCCCCUUCCACACCUCCUUGCAUGCAGGCACCUCUAAGUCUUCCUCUCUCCCGGCCUAUGGCAGGACCACCCUGAGCCGGCUACAGUCCACAGACUUCAGCCCAUCGGGGAGUGAGACUGGAAGCCCAGGCCUGCAGGUGAGCGCCUUCCGGAGGGGAACAGGUGGACACCAGAAGCCAGGCCAGGCAACUGGACGUGUGGGGGAUGGGGAGUGGGGCCUCAGAAUUGCCUGGUGAAGCCAUGAGAAGCUGGGGUAAGGCUGGGAAGGUCUCCCCACCCCACUCUGGCUCACUGCAGCUUUGGUCUCCCCAGAAUGGAGAGGGCCAGAGGGGGAGGAUGGACCGGGGGAACUCCCUGCCCUGUGUGCUGGAGCAGAAGAUCUAUCCUUAUGAAAUGCUGGUGGUGACCAACAAGGGGCGAACCAAGUUGCCUCCAGGUGUGGAUCGGAUGCGGCUUGAGAGGCAUCUAUCCGCUGAGGACUUCUCAAGGGUAUUUGCUAUGUCUCCCGAAGAGUUCGGCAAGCUGGCCCUGUGGAAGCGGAAUGAACUCAAGAAGAAGGCCUCUCUCUUCUAAGGCCCCCCUCCAUGACUGACUCCCUCGCCCCUGCUGCUUGAGGGCUUUGGAGCUGGGGUCACUAGAUGGCAAAGCAUCCUCUUCCCCUGGUGGGCUGGAGAGGGAGGGGCAGACGCAGGUGGAGGGAGCCGAGGCCCCUGCAAGCCUGGCCACUGCGGCGUGGACUUCCCUGGCCACGAGGAGCCAGAUGGCCUCCUCUUCUCUCCCCUGCUCCUCACUGCACAGGGCAACCCAGACAGGGCUCUAGCACCCACGGAGUUAAUGUUUGUGCCCUCUCCCUGUCUCUCACCCCCACCCAGAGGUCCCUAGCAGAGGGUAAGGAGAAAGAAGGGGCACGUGGUGGUCAGGCCUGGCAGCUGUCUUGAGCAAGGGGUAGGAAGUAGCCAGGCAGCGGCCCCUGUGUGAGCCCACCCAACACCCCCUACCCACUCCUGUCAGCUUCCCCUGUGCCUGGGCUUCCUACUUCUCUGACUCCAGCAGGAAGGCUGCCCUGCCCUCCAGCUUGCCCUGACUUUUGCUCUGCUUUGAAGCCUCUUGCUUCAGUCCCAUGGCUUCCCCAGAAGCCCUGGCAUAGAGGGGGAUGCUACCUAACAGCCCCAACCCACUGCCUGCCUCCAGGCCAAGUCAGCAGGAGUUCUACCUUCUAGUGCAAGCCAGGUACUGGGUAGAGGCCAGGCCUUGAGCCUCCCUUGGAUGGGGUCCAGAGGGGUGGCACAUUCCUGAGUGUCCUGGCUACCAGCUCCCACCUGUUCCCACGCAUCUCUACUAUGCUCUUAAAGAAUGUAUUUAUUGGGCCCCCCCAGCUGCUUUCCUCAUCUAACUCUCUGCCCUUCUUUAGUCACACUCCCAGCUCUACUUCUUUCCAAGUACACAUGUGUAUAUAAUUAUAUCUAUAUUUUUGCCCAGGUCGGGUUUUGUUCCCACCCAGAGCCUGGCAGCCCUUUCCACUUUGUGUGUGAUAAUGCUGGGGGAGGGGGACUCUGCUUGGAAUUAAAAGGUUGCAUUGAGUCCCUAAA
This is an RNA transcript of Nycticebus coucang (slow loris), 3360 nucleotides long. It is a transcript of the gene named dematin actin binding protein, with no coding region annotated. Lineage: Eukaryota; Metazoa; Chordata; Mammalia; Primates; Lorisidae. The transcript is spliced from 15 exons. The record is from RefSeq and is a predicted model, not a curated record.